This 735-nucleotide ribosomal RNA is filed under the name uncultured bacterium. RNAcentral's name for it is "bacterial SSU rRNA". It matches the Rfam family "Bacterial small subunit ribosomal RNA", at positions 771 to 1501 of the family's 1533-position model. The record is from RNAcentral.
AACAGGAUUAGAUACCCUGGUAGUCCACGCUGUAAACGGUGGGUACUAGGUGUGGGGUCCAUUCCACGGGUUCCGUGCCGUAGCUAACGCUUUAAGUACCCCGCCUGGGGAGUACGGCCGCAAGGCUAAAACUCAAAGGAAUUGACGGGGCCCCGCACAAGCGGCGGAGCAUGCGGAUUAAUUCGAUGCAACGCGUAGAACCUUACCUGGGUUUGACAUGGAUCGGGAGUGCUCAGAGAUGGGUGUGCCUCUUUUGGGGUCGGUUCACAGGUGGUGCAUGGCUGUCGUCAGCUCGUGUCGUGAGAUGUUGGGUUAAGUCCCGCAACGAGCGCAACCCUUGUUCACUGUUGCCAGCACGUUAUGGUGGGGACCCAGUGGAGACCGCCGGGGUCAACUCGGAGGAAGGUGGGGAUGACGUCAAGUCAUCAUGCCCCUUAUGUCCAGGGCUUCACGCAUGCUACAAUGGCUGGUACAGAGAGUGGCGAGCCUGUGAGGGUGAGCGAAUCUCGGAAAGCCGGUCUCAGUUCGGAUUGGGGUCUGCAACUCGACCUCAUGAAGUCGGAGUCGCUAGUAAUCGCAGAUCAGCAACGCUGCGGUGAAUACGUUCCCGGGGCUUGUACACACCGCCCGUCAAGUCAUGAAAGUUGGUAACACCCGAAGCCGGUGGCCUAACCGUUGUGGGGGAGCCGUCGAAGGUGGGACUGGUGAUUAGGACUAAGUCGUAACAAGGUAACC